This 23-nucleotide microRNA is filed under the name Oreochromis niloticus (Nile tilapia). Its description in RNAcentral is "oni-miR-10810". Lineage: Eukaryota; Metazoa; Chordata; Actinopteri; Cichliformes; Cichlidae. The record is from miRBase by way of RNAcentral.
UUCCUGGGUUGUCCGUGAACAUC